AUUGAACGCUGGCGGCAGGCUUAACACAUGCAAGUCGAGCGCGCGGCGGACGGGUGAGUAAUGGCUGGGAAACUGCCUGAUGGAGGGGGAAAACUACUGGAAACGGUAGCUAAUACCGCAUAAAAUCAGAUGUGCACAGAUGGGAGUAGGUAGCAGGUGGGGUAAUGGCACACCUAGGCGACGAUCCCUAGCUGGUCUGAGAGGAUGACCAGCCACACUGGAACUGAGAGACGGCCCAGACUCCUACGGGAGGCAGCAGUGGGGAAUAUUGCACAAUGGGCGCAAGCCUGAUGCAGCCAUGCCGCGUGUGUGAAGAAGGCCUUCGGGUUGUAAAGCACUUUCAGCGAUGAGGCGUUACUCGCAGAAGAAGCAACGGCUAACUCCGUGCCAGCAGCCGCGGUAAUUC
Molecule: ribosomal RNA, 406 nt
Filed under: uncultured bacterium
Lineage: Bacteria
Description: partial 16S ribosomal RNA
Rfam family: Bacterial small subunit ribosomal RNA
Source: RNAcentral